This 361-nucleotide long non-coding RNA is filed under the name Elaeis guineensis (African oil palm). RNAcentral describes it as "long non-coding RNA (EGUI_LNC079440)". The record is from RNAcentral. Lineage: Eukaryota; Viridiplantae; Streptophyta; Magnoliopsida; Arecales; Arecaceae.
AACUACAGAGGGAAAGAAAUCCUAUCAGAAAUCUAAAGGAGUUCGGUGCUACAGAAACUAAAAAAAUAUUUAAAAAGUGAAAAAAAAGCAAUGAUGAAGGGUGGAAGCAAAAGUCAAAGCCCGGUGCAGAAAGCUUCUUAGUAUAAACAGAAGCAGCUGGGGGGAGGGGCGCUAGCCCGGCCAGUCGACCUAGGAAGCUCCAACUCGUACUCUGGAGGAACCCCCUACUGAAUCCUAAUCAGUGAGAGUUCCUCCAGAGUCAGAGAGCUGGAGAUGGUAUUCAGUACAAAGAUCGGAUGAGGUUCAUCUAUAGAACUAAGAUUCUAGGGGGCUGGAGCGGACAAACUUCUAGAACUGCUAG